AAAACAUCGCCUCCUGCAAAAAUCAACGUAUAGGAGGUCUUACCUGCCCAGUGACUGCAAGUUAAACGGCCGCGGUAUUUUGACCGUGCAAAGGUAGCGCAAUCACUUGUCUUUUAAAUGAAGACCUGUAUGAAUGGUGAAACGAGGGCUUAACUGUCUCCCCCCUCCAGUCAAUGAAAUUGAUCUACCCGUGCAGAAGCGGGUAUAAUGAUACAAGACGAGAAGACCCUUUGGAGCUUAAGAUGAAAAGUCAACUAUAUCAAAAGUCCCAAAAAGAAUCUAAACCAAAUAGCACUGAUCCUAAUCUUCGGUUGGGGUGACCACGGGAGAAAAUAAAGCUCCCAUGCGGACUGGGACUAUCCCCUAAAGCUAAGAGAGACAUCUCUAAAACACAGAACAUCUGACCAAAAAGAUCCGGCUAAACGCCGACCAACGGACCAAGUUACCCUAGGGAUAACAGCGCAAUCCCCUUCCAGAGUCCAUAUCGACAAGGGGGUUUACGACCUCGAUGUUGGAUCAGGACAUCCUAAUGGUGCAGCCGCUAUUAAGGGUUC
RNAcentral lists this ribosomal RNA (554 nucleotides) under Pseudancistrus depressus. RNAcentral's name for it is "partial 16S ribosomal RNA". It matches the Rfam family "Bacterial large subunit ribosomal RNA", at positions 1810 to 2574 of the family's 2925-position model. Lineage: Eukaryota; Metazoa; Chordata; Actinopteri; Siluriformes; Loricariidae. The record is from RNAcentral.